AACAACAACACACGCAGAUCCUGCAGAUGACAGAUAUUAAUAUUAACACUUUAAACACAAAUAUUACCAGCUAAUCUGCAAAUUAAACCGACACACAACCCGUUACAAUGGAGGACUCGAGCUUGUCACGCGACUCAGCCGACAGUAAAAUCUUCUGGACUGUAAGCCUGUUGAACAGAAGCAGAGACGUGUGGACAGACACUGACUGUACUGAUGAUGAUCAUCUGCUGCUGCACAGGCUGUAAAGUAUAACCCCUGCUGGACACGGCUCCGGAAGCUCCAGGGGGAGACCGAACUGGUAUCCCCCCUUCUUCAGGCGCGCCUCACACUCACUCACCAUUCACACAUAUCGCAGAGUUCUGGCUGGGACCGAUACCAGCAACCCCUGAAGCCGUGGGGCAGCGCUCUUACCACAGAGCCACAGAUCUCCUGUCUGAACACCUGCUGGAACUGAUGCUUGACUGCUGACCUGAGCUGUGAUUGGACAAUAAAUUAGUUAAA
Molecule: long non-coding RNA, 501 nt
Filed under: Danio rerio (zebrafish)
Lineage: Eukaryota; Metazoa; Chordata; Actinopteri; Cypriniformes; Danionidae
Description: si:dkey-14d8.9 (ENSDARG00000095186.2)
Source: RNAcentral